UGGGGAAUAUUGGACAAUGGGCGCAAGCCUGAUCCAGCCAUGCCGCGUGAGUGAUGAAGGCCCUAGGGUUGUAAAGCUCUUUCACCGGUGAAGAUAAUGACGGUAACCGGAGAAGAAGCCCCGGCUAACUUCGUGCCAGCAGCCGCGGUAAUACGAAGGGGGCUAGCGUUGUUCGGAUUUACUGGGCGUAAAGCGCGCGUAGGCGGACUUUUAAGUCAGGGGUGAAAUCCCGGGGCUCAACCCCGGAACUGCCUUUGAUACUGGAAGUCUUGAGUAUGGUAGAGGUGAGGUGAAUUCCGUGUGUGGAGGUGAAGUCCGUAGAUAUUCGGAGGAACACCAGUGGCGAAGGCGGCUCACUGGACCAUUACUGACGCUGAGGGGCGAAAGCGUGGGGAGCAA
This 399-nucleotide ribosomal RNA is filed under the name uncultured bacterium. RNAcentral describes it as "bacterial SSU rRNA". It matches the Rfam family "Bacterial small subunit ribosomal RNA", at positions 355 to 771 of the family's 1533-position model. The record is from RNAcentral.